Molecule: unclassified non-coding RNA, 166 nt
Filed under: soil metagenome
Description: partial internal transcribed spacer 1
Source: RNAcentral
CGAGUGAGGGUCCUCGGGCCCAACCUCCCACCCUUUGUAUACACCUCGUUGCCUUCGGGGCCACUGGGCCACCUGGUCGCCGGGACGCAUGUCCCCGGCCCGAUGACCAGCGAAGAGCUCUGGCAUCCUGUAUGACGUCUGGAUGUAUGAGUUACAUGAAAUGUCA